RNAcentral lists this ribosomal RNA (433 nucleotides) under uncultured bacterium. RNAcentral's name for it is "partial 16S ribosomal RNA". It matches the Rfam family "Bacterial small subunit ribosomal RNA", at positions 29 to 507 of the family's 1533-position model. The record is from RNAcentral.
AACGAACGCUGGCGGCAUGCCUAACACAUGCAAGUCGAACGAGACCUUCGGGUCUAGUGGCGCACGGGUGCGUAACGCGUGGGAACCUGCCCUUAGGCUCGGAAUAACUCCCCGAAAGGGGUGCUAAUACCGGAUAAUGUCUUCGGACCAAAGAUUUAUCGUCCUUGGAUGGGCGCGCGUUGGUUUAGCUAGUUGGUAGGGUAAAAGCCUAUCAAGGCGACGAUCCAUAGCUGGUCUGAGAGGAUGGUCAGCCACACUGGGGCUGAGACACGGCCCGGAAUCCUACGCGAGGGGGGAAAGGGUGAUAUAGGACAAUCGGGGGAGGGCUGAAGGAGCUAGGCCGGGAGAGUGCUGAAGGCCGGAAAGAAGUAAAGCUCUUUUACCCGGGAUGAUAAUGACGGUACCGAAAGAAUAAGCACCGGCUAACUCCGUG